Non-coding RNA from Gymnothorax javanicus (giant moray), 74 nucleotides. NCBI's taxonomy places the organism in Eukaryota, Metazoa, Chordata, Actinopteri, Anguilliformes, Muraenidae. The record is from the annotation of a GenBank genome assembly.
GACGCGGUGGCACAGUGGUUAAAUGUGCUUGACUCAGGAUUGAAAAGCCCUGAGUUUGAGUCCUGGCCUCGGCU